RNAcentral lists this non-coding RNA (959 nucleotides) under Bathyuroconger vicinus (large-toothed conger). RNAcentral describes it as "partial 12S ribosomal RNA". It matches the Rfam family "Bacterial small subunit ribosomal RNA". The record is from RNAcentral. Lineage: Eukaryota; Metazoa; Chordata; Actinopteri; Anguilliformes; Congridae.
CAAAAGCCUGGUCCUGACUUUAAUAUCAAUUAUGGUCCGAAUUACACAUGCAAGUACCUGCACCCCUGUGAGAAUGCCCACAUCCCCAGCCUGGGGAAAAGGAGCUGGCAUCAGGCACAACCUAAAGAAGUUAGCCCAAGACGCCUUGCUUAGCCACACCCCCACGGGAACUCAGCAGUGAUAAACAUUAAGCCAUGAGCGAAAGCUCGACUUAAUCAAGACCAAAUAGAGCCGGUAAAACUCGUGCCAGCCACCGCGGUUAUACGAUAGGCUCAAAUUGAUACUUUCCGGCGUAAAGUGUGAUUAGAAUAUAAAAGGAACUAAAGCCAAACACCUCUUAAGCUGUCAUACGCUUAUAGAGCAUACGAAGUCCCACAACGAAAGUGGCUUUAAAAACUAUUGAACUCACGACCAUCAAGAAACAAACUGGGAUUAGAUACCCCACUAUGCUUAAUUGUAAACAACGAUGGAAAUUUACAAAAACCAUCCGCCAGGGGAUUACAAGCACUAGCUCAAAACCCAAAGGACUUGGCGGUGCCUCACACCCACCUAGAGGAGCCUGUUCUAUAACCGAUACCCCCCGUUAAACCUCACCAUCCCUUGUUAAUCCAGCCUAUAUACCGCCGUCGCCAGCUUACCUUGUGAAAGACCAAUAGUAAGCCAAAUGGGUCACCCCCUAUACGUCAGGCCGAGGUGUAGCAAAUGGGAUGGGAAGAAAUGGGCUACAUUUUCUGACCCAGAAUACUACGAAAGGUGUAAUGAAAAAAACACAAUUGAAGGUGGAUUUAGCAGUAAAAAGAAAAUAGAGCGUUCUUUUGAAGACGGCUCUGAGGCGCGUACAUACCGCCCGUCACUCUCCUCAAAAAUAAAUCAAAACUAAUUAAUAAUAAUUUAACCUAUAAUAAAGAGGAGGCAAGUCGUAACAUGGUAAGUGUACCGGAAGGUGCACUUGGAAAAUU